CCCCUCUCAGGGUCAUACCUGGAGAGUGUCCAGUACUCUGCCAGUCUCGGCUACAGAAGAGAGAGUCAAGCAGAGUCCUACCCAUUCCAUUCCUAGGUUGGCCAGUGACUAGCGAGUGGAAGACAAUCUGCUAUAAGU
Molecule: small nucleolar RNA, 138 nt
Organism: Tachyglossus aculeatus (Australian echidna)
Lineage: Eukaryota; Metazoa; Chordata; Mammalia; Monotremata; Tachyglossidae
Source: RefSeq, a predicted model, not a curated record